AACAGAUUCUGGUGGUCAAUAUAGGCAACUCAGGUGGCCCAUCCAACCAAGCCAAUCAAAUAUUGAGGCUCGGAACAAAAUAGAAUUACAUCCAUGCUUGGAAUCAGAAGUCUGUGCUCAUAGAAAUGUUAGGUCUUCCUCCAAGGCAUCAGCAGUUUCAUCAUUGCCUCGGCCAACCAAGGAUUAGGUCUAACCUCGGCUUCCUCUGACUUAGUCUUUUUCCGAUCAACGUACUCCUUUAGGUGUCCAUCCUGAAUGAGCUGAUCGAGAAAAG
This 274-nucleotide long non-coding RNA is filed under the name Actinidia chinensis (golden kiwifruit). RNAcentral describes it as "long non-coding RNA (ACHI_LNC000826)". Lineage: Eukaryota; Viridiplantae; Streptophyta; Magnoliopsida; Ericales; Actinidiaceae. The record is from RNAcentral.